GGGAUUGUAGCUCAGUGGUAUAGUGCUUGCCUAGCAUGUAUGAGGCACUGGGUUCAAUCCUCAGCACCCCA
This 71-nucleotide transfer RNA is filed under the name Ictidomys tridecemlineatus (thirteen-lined ground squirrel). RNAcentral describes it as "Spermophilus tridecemlineatus (thirteen-lined ground squirrel) tRNA". It matches the Rfam family "tRNA". From Rfam's summary of the family: Transfer RNA (tRNA) molecules are approximately 80 nucleotides in length. Lineage: Eukaryota; Metazoa; Chordata; Mammalia; Rodentia; Sciuridae. The record is from Rfam by way of RNAcentral.